UCCGAGUUGACCCCGGCGGUCUCCCAUGAGUCCCCAUCAUAACAUGCUGGCAACUAAAGAUAGGGGUUGCGCUCGUUGCGGGACUUAACCCAACACCUCACGACACGAGCUGACGACAGCCAUGCAGCACCUGUGUUCAGGUUCCCUUUCGGGCACCGCUGCAUUUCUGCAGCGUUCCUGACAUGUCAAGGGUAGGUAAGGUUUUUCGCGUUGCAUCGAAUUAAUCCACAUCAUCCACCGCUUGUGCGGGUCCCCGUCAAUUCCUUUGAGUUUUAAUCUUGCGACCGUACUCCCCAGGCGGUCUACUUCACGCGUUAGCUGCGUUACCAAGUUAAUUAAAACCCGACAACUAGUAGACAUCGUUUAGGGCGUGGACUAC
RNAcentral lists this unclassified non-coding RNA (379 nucleotides) under uncultured Gammaproteobacteria bacterium. RNAcentral's name for it is "contains 16S-23S intergenic spacer region". The record is from RNAcentral. Lineage: Bacteria; Pseudomonadati; Pseudomonadota; Gammaproteobacteria.